GAUGAACGCUGGCGGCGUGCCUAAUACAUGCAAGUCGAGCGAACAGAUGAGGAGCUUGCUCCUCUGACGUUAGCGGCGGACGGGUGAGUAACACGUGGAUAACCUACCUAUAAGACUGGGGUAACUUCGGGAAACCGGAGCUAAUACCGGAUAAUAUAUUGAACCGCAUGGUUCAAUAGUGAAAGACGGUUUUGCUGUCACUUAUAGAUGGAUCCGCGCCGCAUUAGCUAGUUGGUAAGGUAACGGCUUACCAAGGCAACGAUGCGUAGCCGACCUGAGAGGGUGAUCGGCCACACUGGAACUGAGACACGGUCCAGACUCCUACGGGAGGCAGCAGUAGGGAAUCUUCCGCAAUGGGCGAAAGCCUGACGGAGCAACGCCGCGUGAGUGAUGGAGGUCUUCGGAUCGUAAAACUCUGUUAUUAGGGAAGAACAAAUGUGUAAGUAACUAUGCACGUCUUGACGGUACCUAAUCAGAAAGCCACGGCUAACUACGUG
RNAcentral lists this ribosomal RNA (497 nucleotides) under uncultured bacterium. RNAcentral describes it as "partial 16S ribosomal RNA". It matches the Rfam family "Bacterial small subunit ribosomal RNA", at positions 28 to 507 of the family's 1533-position model. The record is from RNAcentral.